RNAcentral lists this ribosomal RNA (453 nucleotides) under uncultured bacterium. RNAcentral describes it as "bacterial SSU rRNA". It matches the Rfam family "Bacterial small subunit ribosomal RNA", at positions 335 to 799 of the family's 1533-position model. The record is from RNAcentral.
ACUCCUACGGGAGGCAGCAGUGGGGAAUAUUGCACAAUGGGCGCAAGCCUGAUGCAGCGACGCCGCGUGAGGGAUGACGGCCUUCGGGUUGUAAACCUCUGUUAGCAUCGAAGAAGCGAAAGUGACGGUAGGUGCAGAGAAAGCGCCGGCUAACUACGUGCCAGCAGCCGCGGUAAUACGUAGGGCGCGAGCGUUGUCCGGAAUUAUUGGGCGUAAAGAGCUUGUAGGCGGUUGGUCGCGUCUGCUGUGAAAGGCUGGGGCUUAACCCUGGUUUUGCAGUGGGUACGGGCUAACUAGAGUGCAGUAGGGGAGACUGGAAUUCCUGGUGUAGCGGUGGAAUGCGCAGAUAUCAGGAGGAACACCGAUGGCGAAGGCAGGUCUCUGGGCUGUAACUGACGCUGAGAAGCGAAAGCAUGGGGAGCGAACAGGAUUAGAUACCCUGGUAGCUACGAG